GAUGAACGCUGACAGAAUGCUUAACACAUGCAAGUCGAUGGGGAAGUGGUGCUUGCACCAUGGUAACCAUGGCGGACGGGUGAGUAACGCGUAAGGAACUUACCUGCGGGACCGGGAUAACAGCAGGAAACUGCUGACAAGACCGGAUAAGGUCAUUAAGCUGCAUAGCUUAGUGAUGAAAGGAGACGCCUGCGGAGAGCCUUGCGUACUAGUAGCUAGUUGGAGGGGUAAUGGCCCACCAAGGCGAAGAUAGGUAGCCGGCCUGAGAGGGUGGACGGCCAAGAGGGGACUGAGAUGCGGCACUUACGACUACGGGAGGCAGCAGGGGGGAAUAUUGGAGCAUGGGGGCAACACUGAUCCAGCUAUUCUGUGUGCACGAAGACGGUUUUAGGAUUGUAAAGUGCUUUCAGCAGGGAAGAAGGAAGUGACGGUACCUGCAGAAGAAGCGACGGCUAAAUACGUG
This 463-nucleotide ribosomal RNA is filed under the name uncultured bacterium. RNAcentral's name for it is "partial 16S ribosomal RNA". It matches the Rfam family "Bacterial small subunit ribosomal RNA", at positions 28 to 507 of the family's 1533-position model. The record is from RNAcentral.